Molecule: long non-coding RNA, 476 nt
Filed under: Equus caballus (horse)
Lineage: Eukaryota; Metazoa; Chordata; Mammalia; Perissodactyla; Equidae
Description: lncRNA (ENSECAG00000060364.1)
Source: RNAcentral
GUUCCACAGUUUUCCAGCUUUCAUUUCUCUUAUCAAUACAUUCUAUAUUAUUGUCACUGAACUGAUAGUCCAACGCCAUUGGACAGAUUACAGCUCAAAUCUGGGAAAUCCAGGUGGUAUUCAGUUGCCUUAAGUCUACUUAUUGAUUGACCCAUCAUUUUCCCAUGGCUUUGAUGUCUGUUUUUCAUCUUUUGAAGUUGCAGGUCCUAGUUGUGGCAUGUGGGACACCGCCUCAAUGUGGCCUAACAAGCAGUGCCAUGUCUGCACCCAGGAUCCAAACCAGCGAAACCCUAGGCCGCUGCAGCGGAGAGUGCGAACUUUACCACUCUCCAUGGGGCCGGGGCCCCUUGACCUGGUUUUGAUUGUGAAAAGAAUGUAAGCUUUUUAUGAACUAUUUGACAAAAUGAUUAACUAGCAAAGUUACCAAGUACUUGUUAAAUAAAAUCUCACACCUAAAGUCACAAGUUGGCUUCAUU